RNAcentral lists this small RNA (116 nucleotides) under Lederbergia galactosidilytica. RNAcentral's name for it is "Bacillus galactosidilyticus Bacillaceae-1 RNA". It matches the Rfam family "Bacillaceae-1 RNA". Lineage: Bacteria; Bacillati; Bacillota; Bacilli; Caryophanales; Bacillaceae. The record is from Rfam by way of RNAcentral.
UAAUAAGGAUCAAAGGCUUAAAUCGCAACAUCCUGUUAACAGACUUAAAACACAAUAUCCUGUCGUUUUGCCUGCAUUAGUAUGUCGCUUCGCCUUUGUGACCAACUUCCUGUUGG